This 73-nucleotide transfer RNA is filed under the name Cavia porcellus (domestic guinea pig). It matches the Rfam family "tRNA". Rfam says of the family: Transfer RNA (tRNA) molecules are approximately 80 nucleotides in length. Lineage: Eukaryota; Metazoa; Chordata; Mammalia; Rodentia; Caviidae. The record is from Rfam by way of RNAcentral.
GGGGGUGUAGCUUAGUGGCACAGCGCCUGCCUGGCAAGCAUGAGAUCCUGAGUUUGAUUUCUAAUCCCCCCCU